RNA transcript from Canis lupus familiaris (dog), 3988 nucleotides. It is a transcript of the gene named WD repeat domain, phosphoinositide interacting 2, with no coding region annotated. The record is from RefSeq and is a predicted model, not a curated record. NCBI's taxonomy places the organism in Eukaryota, Metazoa, Chordata, Mammalia, Carnivora, Canidae. The transcript has 13 exons.
UGUCCUCGGGACCCUCCGGGCGCUGCGCGGCGCGGCGCUGGGGCUGCGACCUCUGGGCGAGGCCGGUGAUGGAGACAGGGAGCGGUCUCAGCCGCCGACCGAAAGAAUGGUUGCUUUACCUUUGGGGGGACCUCCCUUUUCACGAAGUUGGGGCGGAACUUUGUGCGCUGACCUGUUGUCACAGCCGCUUCCAGAGCGGUCCCUAGCUGUUGGUAGUAAGUCCGGUUAUAAAUUUUUCUCCCUUUCUUCUGUGGAUAAGCUGGAACAGAUCUAUGAAUGCACUGAUACGGAAGAUGUGUGCAUUGUAGAGAGAUUGUUUUCAAGCAGCUUAGUGGCCAUCGUCAGCCUCAAAGCUCCUAGAAAGCUAAAAGUUUGCCAUUUUAAGAAAGGAACUGAGAUCUGCAACUACAGCUACUCAAAUACCAUACUGGCCGUGAAGCUGAACCGACAGAGGCUGAUAGUUUGCCUGGAGGAGUCUCUCUAUAUACACAACAUUCGGGACAUGAAAGUACUGCACACGAUCAGGGAAACCCCUCCAAACCCUGCAGGCUUGUGUGCACUGUCGAUACACAACGACAAUGGUUACUUGGCAUACCCAGGCAGUGCCACUAUUGGAGAGGUGCAGGUCUUCGACACCAUGAAUUUGAGAGCUGCAAACAUGAUCCCAGCUCACGACAGUCCUUUGGCAGCACUGGCGUUUGAUGCCAGUGGAACCAAGCUUGCCACUGCCUCCGAGAAGGGGACCGUGAUUAGAGUAUUCUCCAUUCCAGAGGGACAAAAACUCUUUGAGUUCCGGAGAGGAGUUAAGAGGUGUGUGAGCAUCUGCUCCUUGGCCUUCAGCAUGGACAGCAUGUUCCUCUCUGCAUCUAGCAACACUGAGACUGUGCACAUCUUCAAACUUGAGACUGUGAAAGAAAAACCUCAGGAGGAGCCCACCACCUGGACUGGGUACUUCGGGAAGGUACUCAUGGCUUCCACCAGCUACUUGCCCUCCCAAGUAACAGAAAUGUUCAACCAGGGCAGAGCCUUUGCCACAGUUCGCCUGCCUUUCUGUGGCCACAAGAACAUCUGCUCACUGGCCACAAUUCAGAAGAUUCCCCGACUACUGGUGGGAGCUUCCGACGGGUACUUGUACAUGUAUAACCUGGACCCCCAGGAAGGAGGCGAGUGUACCCUGAUGAAACAGCACAAGUUGGAUGGAAGCAUGGAGACAACCAAUGAAAUCUUAGACUCAGCCUCUCACGACUGCCCCUUAGUGACUCAGACCUACAACACAGCUGUCGCCACAGGUACUCAUGUGCCUUCAUCUCCGACCAGACUUGCCUACGGAGACGAGCUGGGGGCCGUGGGCGGCGCAUGUCUGGAAGAGGAGGCCAGCGCUCUGCGGCUGGAGGAGGACAGCGAGCAUCCUCCUAUGAUUCUUCGGACGGACUGAACUUGACCUGUGAACUCUGACCCCCGGAGCAGAGAACACUGGCUUGAUGGAGGACUUUGUGUUAUGCUGCUAUGAACUUUGACCUGAGUUGGGGAGAGGAUGGCAGAGACUUAAAAAGAAAAAAAAAAAAAAGAUCGUAGCUGUAGUCUUAUUCCAUACUGUUGAGAAAUACAUCGUUUUCACUUCAGUGGCUUUUAAUCCUGCUUAGGAAUCUUAGCUUUUUGUUUGUUUUCUGUUUUUGCCAAAAUUAACUGUUUGGUGAAGCCCUUGAAACCUUGCUUUGCAUGCGUUAAUGUGCCAAGCCAGCAUAGGAGAGCUAGAAGCCACUUUAUAACAACUGCAGUUGUUUGGUUUUUAAAAUCUGUAUAUAAGGAGGAGCGUACACAAGGAGAAGGUGGCAUCGUGCAGAGCGGUUCUGGGUGUUAAGGCAGGUUCUGCUCAGGCGGGUCCAAGAGCCCUCUCUGGGUUUGCCAGGCUCAGGGGGCAACAGCCAUGGGGAGGGGUCCUCUCUCUCCAGAGCCCCUCCUGGGCCCUUCCCCCCAUUUUAUUUUGUUAAUUAAAUUCUUUCCAAAUUGGAUUAUUCUGGGAUCUCUUGCUUGCCGGACUUUUAUUUUGUUUCUGGCUUUAUUUUUCAUGUGGGUAUUGGAGGAGAGAUUCUUUCUGGCAUUAAAAAAAUCUUCCUUUCUGACAGCACAUGAACUCAAAAGAACACCUCAGAGGGCCAGAGCGAAGGAGAGUGGUCUUGUUUUGUGUAAUUAAAUUAUCUGGUCUUUAAUUUUCCUGUUGAAUAACUGUGUGGGGGUUCUGUUUGUGUGUUUUUAAGGAAUUUUGUAGCUACUCCCUAUACCCAUGGAGCAUAGAAUUACAGUGUGGGGGGCACCCGAACUGUCCUCGGACCUUGAGCCCCGCCGUCUGUCAAGGGCUCCUCUCACCCGUGUCAGGAGUACUAAAGAGAGGGAAAUGCGACAGACCUGGGGAGAGGGGAGGCUGUGAGCACCGGUUUUACAGGGUGAUAUGUGCCUUUUCUAUUUUAAUCUUACAGAAUUGUUCAACAAAGUGACGUGAGAUUGUGGUCACAAGUCCUAGUGUUAGCCCAGCUCCCCUUUUCAUUUUUACAGGAGUCGCACAACCACAGAUACCUCAGAAUCUGCAUUCCAGACCAAGACAUCUAGUAGUCAAAGUUUCGAGGCAAUUCAAGUGGUGUAAAAGGUCGUCAUAGAUUCUUGACAGAAUGGUGACGGGUAAGGACAGAAGUUAAAACAAGGCAAAAAUGUUAUCUGCCCUCCCUUUGCCCCGUGUCAGCCUUCUGGACAGAGGAGGUGCAGAGGCAUGUGCUCCAUGUUGAGGGGGCUGCUGCAGCAGUUGGUGGAGCUGACUGCACACUUUCCAUACCCAACCUCAGGGUCUGUCUGUACCCUUACAGCUGCAUAUCCAGUGGUUGGUUUGAAGGUGAGAGCCUAGGUGCAGAGAGCACCCAGAUAAGUUUGGACAGCAGCGGAAAUCUCUAGAAACGCUGGUUAGGGCAGCAGCCUGAGAUGCUGUACGCUACUGGUCAGAGGUGAAGGCAGAGUAUACUGUACCUUCCUUUAAAGGCUGGCACACCACCUGCAUCCCUGACGAAGUGUGACCCUCAGGCCCAGAUGUGAUACAGUGUGCAUCUGCUGAGCACCGAGCAAGGAUACGCUUAACCUAAGGACUCUUGAGGGGCCGCACAGGACACAGCCUGCCUGUGUCAGACCUGGGAGGCCCUAUCUCUGUAUCUUCUGGAACAAGGCACUGGACUCUGUGUCGACGGCUGCGGGCCUCUGAGCAGCCACCUAUGGUUCUCACAGGAGGGAGUUCCCAGGCUUUGCCUCCUCACUGAUCCAUUUGGGGAGCAGACGAGAAAAUAGUUGGUCAUGUACAGAGAAGACUAGGCGUGCUCAGGUCACAGAGUGAAACGGGACAGUCGGUGGUGGGAACACUGUUCCUGGCUCUUUGCAGCUAUUGUUUGUAGCCUUUGUAAUGGCAGCAGCAUGGAGCUGUGCAUGGGCCGUGCUGGUUUGGUUUGUGUGUCCCCUGCCCUAAAUGUCUGUAGGUUCUGUCUUCUGCAUGCAGGGAAUGACAGGAGCUCUCAUUUAAAAUGUCUUUGUGACUCUGUAGCUAGCACAGCUGAAAUUCCAAAUACAUUAUUUUACAAGUGUACUUAAUUCUUAAGAUGGACAGGUCGAAAACUUGGUUUGGGUUCUGUGGUAUCAGAGAUGUAGAAAGAUCGGGCAUUCAGGCCAUUGGUAUUCUGUUUGGGAAGAGUGCUUUAUAUAGAAUUCUCUUUUGUGAAUAACUGAUUUCUUACUGAAAAUAUAAUGAUUGCUUAUUGCCAAGCAGAUCUCACUGAUGUAUAUUUUAGUUCCCACCCAGGUCCUAACCCUUGGCCCAUAUUGUACCUUUUCAUUCUGUGGAUUUUGUGAAGCACAAAAAUGGAUUUUGAGGCAUGGCCAGCCCCUCUAUCCUUCCCUGGUAUCUGGCCAGGAAAGUCUUUAAUUUGGAAAAAUUAAAUCUUUUUAAAGCUCAGAA